Molecule: long non-coding RNA, 664 nt
Filed under: Mus musculus (house mouse)
Lineage: Eukaryota; Metazoa; Chordata; Mammalia; Rodentia; Muridae
Description: anti-Serpinc1
Source: RNAcentral
CUUCUUGGUUAUUACUUUAUUGAGUAUCCACAUUCUCUUGCCAAUCUCACUACUUCAUGUUUUUAACUGAGGUAUAAUGUAGCCCAGGGUGACCCCAAACUUACUCUAUGUAGCUCUAGUUGGUCUUGAACUUGUGAUGAUUGCCUGGCCUCAGCUUCAUGAAUAGAAGAAUUACAAAUGUUAGCUAUCAUGUGGCUAACUAGGCAAGGAGUUAUUACCUGGAUGUCUUCCUCAUAAAUGUUUCCUAUUCUCUCCCAUAUAAAAUGGUUUUUACUUGUUAUUAUUUGAGGGGAGCACACACACGCAUCCAUGUACAUGAAGUCAGAGGACAACUUUCAGGAGCCAGUUCCUUCCUCCUUCCUUAUUGAUGGAGGUCCCUCAUUUCUGCACACUGCAUGGUCCAGGCUGCCCUGCAAGCUUCCAGGAGACCUCUAUUCCGUAUUGCUAUAGGGGUGUUGGGAUUAUAGAUGCAAGACUAUAUGUGGCUUUUUUGUGGGUUCCAGGGACCAAGCACAGAUUGUCAAGCUUGAUAAGCAAUGCUUUUAUCUGCUAACUUAUCUUGCUAGCUCACAUUGUGUGCUAUUCAUAAACAGGAGAAGGCUGGGAUUACCACUCCCUUUUCAGUCAUAUUUUCUCUCUCUCUCCCCCUCCUCUUCCUCAUCUU